AAGUAGCUUCGUAGGUGACCUGCGUGAGGAUCAUUAGCGAAGCUCGGAAUGCGUGUUCGGUUACUGAUGCUGCCCGGCAACGGGAUGUGCUCGUCCGGACGCGUGUCCCUUCUCUAUUCCACCCCAUUGUGAACCAAGUGUGCGAGCCGAAGAGAGAUCGGAGGCCCGCAUGCAAACCCUUAACAUACCCCAUUGAAUUAUCAAAAUGUACCUUGCGUUAACUCGCACAAAUACAACUUUCAACAACGAAUCUCUGGGUUCUCGCAUCAAUAAAAAACGCACCGAAUUGCGAUAAUUAAGGUGAAUUGCAAAAUUCAUUGAAUCAUCAAAUCUUUAAACGCACCUGGCGCCCCUUGGCAUUCCAAGGGGCACGCCGGUUUAAUUGUCGGGAACUCCUCCACCCUCUACCUUUUUCGAAAGGCAUUGGGUUGGAAUUUGGAACCUUGCGGGUCCCUGGCCAAUCCGCUCUCCUUGAAUACUUUACCAAACCCUUUGCGGCCUUGGUGUGAUAGUCAUCUACCCCUCGGUUUACCAAACAUAACGGGAUUCCCUUCCAACCGUCUCGCAGAAAACAAUUCAUUACCAACUUGACCUCAAAUCAGGCGGAACUCCCCGCUAAACUUAACCAUAUCAUAAGCCGGGAGAAA
This 647-nucleotide ribosomal RNA is filed under the name Peniophora sp. 214. RNAcentral describes it as "eukaryotic LSU rRNA". The stretch from base 235 to 388 matches the Rfam family "5.8S ribosomal RNA". Lineage: Eukaryota; Fungi; Basidiomycota; Agaricomycetes; Russulales; Peniophoraceae. The record is from RNAcentral.